AUACGAAGGGUGCAAGCGUUAAUCGGAAUUACUGGGCGUAAAGCGCGCGUAGGUGGUUCAGUAAGUUGGAAGUGAAAUCCCCGGGCUCAACCUGGGAACUGCUUUCAAAACUGCUGAGCUAGAGUACGGUAGAGGGUGGUGGAAUUUCCUGUGUAGCGGUGAAAUGCGUAGAUAUAGGAAGGAACACCAGUGGCGAAGGCGACCACCUGGACUGAUACUGGCACUGAGGUGCGAAAGCGUGGGGAGCAAACAGGAUUAGAAACCCCGGUAGUCC
RNAcentral lists this ribosomal RNA (274 nucleotides) under uncultured bacterium. Its description in RNAcentral is "partial 16S ribosomal RNA". It matches the Rfam family "Bacterial small subunit ribosomal RNA", at positions 523 to 796 of the family's 1533-position model. The record is from RNAcentral.